GCCUUCAUGGUGUAACGGUAGCACACUCGUCCUGUAUUCAAGAGGUCCAAGUUCAAAUCCCGUUGAGGGCA
Molecule: transfer RNA, 71 nt
Filed under: Stegodyphus mimosarum
Lineage: Eukaryota; Metazoa; Arthropoda; Arachnida; Araneae; Eresidae
Rfam family: tRNA
About the family: Transfer RNA (tRNA) molecules are approximately 80 nucleotides in length. Their secondary structure includes four short double-helical elements and three loops (D, anti-codon, and T loops).
Source: Rfam by way of RNAcentral